UACGUAGGCAGCAAGCGUUGUUCGGAGUUACUGGGCGUAAAGGGUGUGUAGGCGGUUCUUUAAGUUUGGUGUGAAAUCUCCCGGCUCAACUGGGAGGGUGCGACGAAUACUGAGGGACUAGAGUACGGGAGAGGAAAGUGGAAUUCCUGGUGUAGCGGUGAAAUGCGUAGAUAUCAGGAGGAACACCGGUGGUGUAGACGGCUUUCUGGACCGUAACUGACGCUGAGACACGAAAGCGUGGGUAGCAAACAGG
Molecule: ribosomal RNA, 253 nt
Filed under: uncultured bacterium
Lineage: Bacteria
Description: partial 16S ribosomal RNA
Rfam family: Bacterial small subunit ribosomal RNA
Source: RNAcentral